RNAcentral lists this ribosomal RNA (468 nucleotides) under uncultured bacterium. RNAcentral's name for it is "partial 16S ribosomal RNA". It matches the Rfam family "Bacterial small subunit ribosomal RNA", at positions 28 to 507 of the family's 1533-position model. The record is from RNAcentral.
GACGAACGCUGGCGGCGUGCUUAACACAUGCAAGUCGAACGGUGAAGCUCCAGCUUGCUGGAGUGGAUCAGUGGCGAACGGGUGAGUAACACGUGAGCAACCUGCCCCUGACUCUGGAAUAAGCGCUGGAAACGGCGGCUAAUACUGGAUACGAGAAGGGUCCGCAUGGGCACUUUCUGGAAAGUUUUGCGGUUGGGGAUGGGCUCGCGGCCUAUCAGCUUGUUGGUGAGGUAAUGGCUCACCAAGGCGACGACGGGUAGCCGGCCUGAGAGGGCGACCGGCCACACUGGGACUGAGACACGGCCCAGACUCCUACGGGAGGCAGCAGUGGGGAAUAUUGCACAAUGGGCGAAAGCCUGAUGCAGCGACGCCGCGUGAGGGAUGACGGCCUUCGGGUUGUAAACCUCUUUCAGCAGGGAAGAAGCGAAAGUGACGGUACCUGCAGAAGAAGCACCGGCUAACUACGUG